This 822-nucleotide long non-coding RNA is filed under the name Pongo abelii (Sumatran orangutan). Its description in RNAcentral is "lincRNA". Lineage: Eukaryota; Metazoa; Chordata; Mammalia; Primates; Hominidae. The record is from RNAcentral.
GACCAGUUUCUUGGGCAGCUCUCUGAAAAGCUGGAAUGUUGGAGGCAUGCUCCAUUCUUUUCUCCCAGAGGAAAAAGAUGUGAAGAGGCAUUCUGUCUUGGCACUGAGCUGUGCUAACUUGGGGGAGAGGCUGACACACAUUGACCUUGCUAGGUUGUAGAGGCAUGUUCUAUCAUCUUUAUUAAGAAGGUGUUUCACUCUUGUUGGCCAGGCUGAAAUGCAAUGGCACGAUCUCGGCUCACUGCAACCUCUGUCUCCCGGGUUCAAGCGACUCUCCUGCCUCAGCCUCCCGAGUAGCUGGAAUUACAGGCAUGUGCCACCACACCCAGCUAAUUUUCCAUUUUUAGUAGGGACGGGGUUUUACCAUGUUGGUCAGGCUGGUCUUGAACUCCUGACCUCAGGUGAUCUGCCUGCCUUGGUCUCCUAAAGUGCUGGGAUUACAAGCAUGAACCGCUGUGUCUGGCCCAUUUUUCUUAUUCUUAAACAUCCUACUAAACAUUUUGGAGCUAGUUGUAUUGGGAGGUUUAUUUUCUAUGUGGAUGGAGCAGUUUUAAAAAGCUGAAAUAAGUGAAAUCUUCCAAGUGAUUUAAAAAAUUUUUAAGCCCAUGUUUCCACCUACUAAAAUUCAAAAAUAUUUACUAUAGAAGAUGACUAGUCUUCUUUAUGACAGUUAUUUUGAUUUAAAAGGAAUUAAAAGGAUAUAACUUUUCUUGAAACAUUUGCACUUAUUCUUAAUCAUGCUGUCAAUUCAUUAUAUGAUUUUGGAUUACUUGAUUAAUGUUUCUAUUUCUUCUCCAUUAAUACUAAUUACUCCUAAUAAUU